CCCCGUACUGCUGCUCAUACUCCAGGACUAUGGGACACUUUAGAGACACCGCCUGCGCUAAAGGAGGAAAGAAUGGGCAACGGUAGGUCAGUAUGCCCCGAAUACCCCGGGCUACACACGGGCUACAAUGGGUGGGAGACAGGGUAUCCACACCGAAAAGGGAAAGAAAUCUCCUAAAACCAUUCUUAAUUCGGAAUGAGGGCUGGAACCCCCCCUCAUGAAACUGGAAUCCGUAAUAAUCGCGUUUCAAAAAAGCGCGGUGAAAACCUCCCUGCCCUUGCACACGAAUUCCUGCAUACCCCAAAACCUUGACAAAAUUCCCAGUCCCUGCUCCUUGCACAA
RNAcentral lists this ribosomal RNA (342 nucleotides) under uncultured archaeon. Its description in RNAcentral is "bacterial SSU rRNA". The stretch from base 1 to 296 matches the Rfam family "Archaeal small subunit ribosomal RNA", at positions 1050 to 1478 of the family's 1478-position model. The record is from RNAcentral.